RNAcentral lists this microRNA (21 nucleotides) under Picea abies (Norway spruce). RNAcentral describes it as "pab-miR3700". The record is from miRBase by way of RNAcentral. Lineage: Eukaryota; Viridiplantae; Streptophyta; Pinopsida; Pinales; Pinaceae.
GACGCCCAAAACUGAAGGUCA